ACGAUGCGACGCCGCGUGGGGGAUGAAGGUCUUCGGAUUGUAAACCUCUGUGUUAUGGGAAGAAUUGCUAGUGGGUGAUAAGCCUGCUAGCGUGACGGUACCAUAGUAGAAAGCCCCAGCUAACUACGUGCCAGCAGCUGCGGUAAUACGUGGGGGGCAAGCGUUGUCCGGAUUUACUGGGCGUAAAGCGUGUGUAGGCGGCUAUAUUAGUCGAGUGUGAAAUGGCUUGGCUCAACCAAGCAACUGCGCUCGAUACUGUAUGGCUUGAGUACGGAAGAGGAAAGUGGAAUGUAAGGUGUAGCGGUGAAAUGCGUAGAUAUCUUAUAGAACACCUAUGGCGAAGGCAGCUUUCUGGUCCGAUACUGACGCUGAGUAUACGAAAGCUUGGGGAGCGAACGGGAUUAGAUACCCCGGUAGUCCAAGCUGUAAACGAUGGGUACUAAGUGUAGGGGGUAUUGAUUCCUCCUGUGCUGUAGCUAACGCAUUAAGUACCCCGCCUGGGGAGUACGGCCACAAGGUUAAAACUCAAGGUAAUUGACGGGGGGCCGCACAAGCGGUGGAGCAUGUCGCUUAAUUCGAAGCAACGCGAAGAACCUUAUCCAGGGCUUGACAUCGCGCUGACCGCCAUAGAAAUAUGGCUUUCCUUUUGGACAGCGUGACAGGUGCUGCAUGGCUGUCGUCAGCUCGUGUCGUGAGAUGUUGGGUUAAGUCCCGCAGCGAGCGCAACCCCUGUCGCUAGUUACCAUCAGGUAAUGCUGGGGACUCUAGUGAGACCGCUGGUGACGAGCC
Molecule: ribosomal RNA, 789 nt
Filed under: uncultured Poribacteria bacterium
Lineage: Bacteria; Candidatus Poribacteria
Description: bacterial SSU rRNA
Rfam family: Bacterial small subunit ribosomal RNA
Source: RNAcentral